AAAACCCCGAGUGACCCAUCUGCCUUAUCCCUAACCCGCUCUCGUCUCCCUCCCUAGGACGCAGCCGCCCACCGAAUCAAAUCCCGUCGUCGGGCUCGUCUGCCUCGCCGUGGCCGAUGAAUGCGUCGGCUGCGGCCACGCCCCCUCUCCAAACGGCGGCGAUGAUGGAGGGAGCAGCUCACGCUGGCCAGGCUCCCGACCGAACGCGUCGGGUCAUCUCUCCUCGGGGCCAACCCCUCCUAUUCAUCGCAUCUCUCCCUGACUCCGUCUCCUCCACGAGAUGUAGCACCACCCCACGCCAUGGACGCCCUUGCCGGCUGCAUCUCUCCAUGCGCCGCCACUCCUAUGACACCGCCGCCCGGCAGUCUCCACCAGCACCACGACGGGUGUGGCCUCUGCACGCGCCGUCACCUCCCCUCCAGAUCCGGACGUCGUCGAGGGCAUGUCCAUCCAGCAGUGCGCCGUCACCUCCCCUCCAGAUCCAGCCGUCGUCAAGGGCGUAUCCAUCCAGCAGCGCGCCGUCAUCCCAAUCAUCACCGUCCAUGGCGUCAUCGCCCAGGCCCAGUCAGGGGCCGGCAAGACCUCCAUGAUCUCCCUCUUCGUCUGCCAAGUCAUUGAGACCAACGUCCACGAGUGAUUUCCGCAUAGCUUUUGUGUAUGACGGCUGGAGGACCAACUCAGACCUCGCUUGCCCCAGGGUCAGGAGGUCCAAGGCGCCACAACCAACUGCCUCUGCAUCCAUAUGCUGGCAAUUUACUUUGAUUUUCAGUGUGGUAAUCUACAGCAAUCAAGUUAACAAAUCUGAAGCAUUUUAGCAAGGCAACGGUGCAAGUGCUCUUUUGGUGGAAGAUGAAGCUUUUGUUGGGCUUGUGAUGUUUUUCUGAAGAAGACUGACGAUGAACUCAAAAGACAAAUAACAUGCGGUUGCUACUACGGGAAUACCUGAUGUUGCUUCAUGUCAGUUAUAUCUUCCAAUAUUUACAGAAACUUCCAAAACUGGCACCAGGUCAGGACAUGCUGAUGAUAACCUUCUAGUUUUGCUAAAUCAUAGUUACUUGAGUAAUCUCUACUCCUAAAGUGUUCUUCGAAGGUGCUCAUCAAAUCUGUUGAUACACAACACCGCAGUUAUUGGUGGUUUACACUGGAUAGUUUCCAGACCUUUAUCGCAAGAUGGACGAACUUGGCAUCUCAGCCAGUACUCUGCCUCAUCAACAGUUUGAUGUCCCUUUGCAUGAAGUUAGGCCAGCAUUAGAAUAUCCGUAGCCUUUUUUAGGAGAUGAAGGUGAAGAAUAUUAAGCCGGAUAACCUCACAUGUUUCCUUCUAAUGACCAGCCAUGCGGCAUUGAACAAGAUAGAUGUUGUUGGAGAAGUUUUAGAAGAAAUGCAAGAAAAUGAUGUAGUUCUAGGGUGGUAUGCAUAUAGCAUGGUUUCUAUCUACCUGAGUGCUGGUUUGGUUUUAAAAAACAGUCUGCUCUCAAGAAACUCGAGGGCCUUGAUUUUAGAAGGUAACAUAAAUAUCUAGAUUGAUCGUUCAUGGUUCUGGGGCUCCUUGUUACAGUUCAGGCAAGAGUUUAGUCCAUAAUACUCAAUUUCAUCCUAAAGUGCGUGCCCCCUGACCCGUGGGACGACGGCACGGAGGCAAUCGCAUAACCCAGCGGCAGGGCGUGGCGGCGUUGUGGCCAGUGAGGAGCGCCGUUAGGGCGUGCCCUGAAUCGAGAGGAACAAGUAUGUUCACUUUCUGUUCGCUUUGUGUUUGCUUUCUGUAGUCUCAAAGCAGAGCAAUGGUCACUGCAAAUUUUAUCAGAGAAUGUGCAACAAAAGCACGUUGAGAAGUUCCUGUGAGCCCUAAUUAUUUCUUGAGAAAGCAAACUUAUUGAUCCUUGCUCUAUUUUUUGUGUACUAAGAUUGUUCGUUUGUACCCAGCAUGUGUAUGUGAUGUGCCCUGCCGCUGUGUGUGCUUCCUGCUAAUGUGUGUGCUUCCUGACGCUGUUGAGCAUGCGUGUGUGUGUUCGCUGUCGCUGUUUAUUAACAUUGUCAUGCUCUCCUUACUUUUUGCUUAACAAUUCAUGAUCAAUACUGAACAUUAUUUUUUGAAUAGAUGCCACUUGAACUUAGUUUUAGCUCUCAUGUUGGUCAAUAAAUCAUCAAGUAAUGUUUUGCAUGGAUUUUAUAACUGACACAAUGUUUCUGAUUUAAUGAGAGCCAACCAUGCGUUCCUGGCUUCCCCAGCGAUGCCAACAUGGCAGGGCAGGACCCAGUGGCCAUCUUCGGCGCCUUCAUGGACUUCGUCAGCGCCGACCUCUGCUUCAUCAUCUACGGCCACAACCCCUUUGUCGUCGGCAUCAUCUGGCACCUCAGAAUGCAAAUUAAAUGUGUUCAUAGAGUGGGGUGUAAUUGUGAUUUGUGCAAUGGGUUCAGAGUGGAAGGGGUUGUCAUUCUUGUUUAGCAGGGGCUGCAAGUUCUAUCGCUAUAAGCCUGACUUGCAGCGGCAACAACAGAUUCAGAUGUGGUAAGCUCAUUCAUUCAUUCUCUCAGGAGAAGAGGACCAAAUUGAUUCAAAUUUUGUGUUCUGAUCUUAAUGUUGCGAGGUUUGCGAUCGCAUGUAUGGUCGGGACUGCAUGGGUCCGGCGACCAAUUGCUUGCAUCUCUUGCUGUAUGGUGAUGAUGACCGGCUCUUGUUAAAUCCAAUACGACUGCACUUCUUCGCUUCAGGAAGAAGGUAUCCCCCCUAUACGAAGAUUUCUAGCUUGCCUAUGUGUUGAUAAGUGCAUUCGGCCAAACAAUUUGUGGACCAAAUAAACUUGUUGCAGAUACAGAAGAACAAGGCUGCACACAAGGAGUUGCCUGAAUUGCAGUGGCAGCGGUGUUGUAAUAUGUAAGGUUUUGCAUCAACUUGGUCUAUUUUCUAUCCAUAAGUCUAAUGAAUUGGCCCUUGUUUAUCAGGAAUCAAGCUUGUGAAGAAAAUUUUUGUUACUUUAAUGACACACACUUGCAGUAAGUCAUUCAGAGAUAUAUUCAGGACAUGCUAGGUUGCCAAGCUCAGAGCCACGUGUUGUCUCCAUAAAUUCGCUGAAAGCAAAAAUCAUUUGCCCAUAGUCAUGUGAAACCUUCUAGAAUUCUUUUUAGUAUUUUGCAUUGCUUGUGCAUUUCUUUUUUUAUCACUUCUAAUAACCUCAUUGAUUCAUUUUUCCUAUCGUCAUGUCAGUCCUUGCUCUAAAUUUUUUGUUAAUAUGUUGCACUUCUUAUGCAUUUCCAUUUUUAUCACUUCUAAUAAUCUCAUUGACUAUUUACAUCUCACCGUGUUUACCAAGAACACGAGUGAUACUUUUGUUUUAUAAUAAUAAUACAAUAGUGACAAUUUUAUUUUAUUUUAUUUUCUGACAUAGUUCUCAAUUAGGCUUACAAAUAUUUUACAUUGGGAGUAGUUCUGCCAUCAAGCUUAUGUGUAAUGUAUUCCUUAGAAUGGUGUUUCAGCCAUUUCUAUGUAGGCGGCAUGUGUGAUGGCACGUAUUUCAACCAUAUCGACUUAGGUGGCAUGUGUGCUGGCACAAGAAAAGGAAGGCCCUGAACUGAAAGGAGCAACAUAUAUUAAUGAAAUGCCCUGAAUUGAGAGAGAGAGAGAGAGAGAGAGUUCAAUUUAAUUUGUCUGGUUUAAAUAUUUAUGAGUAAUUUAAUUUGUUUGACCUUGAGUGUUGACUUGCUUUUCAGUUGUCAACAAUGUCCGUUUUGCUGAAUGUACUUGCUUAUCCUUCUACUGGACUACCAUUGGUUCACUGUGUACAUACACUUUCCAAUUCUGUCUGUUUACUAUCUUUUGUUAUUAUUUGUCUUGAUAACUUGAUGCUUUCUUCCUUGGUUGUUUAAUCUUAACAGUUCCACAUCCCACAUCGAACCUUCCAGACUCAUCCAAGUGACCAUUUGCAACAUCCUUUUCUGGACAAUCUGGAUUAGUUCAAGGUUUUCAUCACUCUGGUCUGCACAACAUUCAUGGAAAUUAUAGUCUUCCAAAAUAUUCCUGGAUCACUUGCAAAAAGGAAUGUUGUGAAGAGUAGCGUUCCAUCAUCUGGGGUCCAACAACCCAGAGGGAGCAUUUCUGGGAGAUUUGCUGCAAACAACCUUCCUGUUGUCAUUCUCAGAUUCCUCAUGCACAUUUAGGUGUCAGUGGUAGAGUAAUGAAUGUUGGUGGAGGUCAAGCAUUUAGAAGUGGAAUGAAUAUGGGUGGUACCAUUCAAGGUUUAUCCUCAAACUUGGGCACCAGUGGUAAUCGAAAUUAUGUUCCUGGAAACCCAGCUUUGGGUCCACGUAUUACAAACAUUGUGAGCAGAAGUAACAUUGGAAUAAAUAUAAGCUCUGGUGGGUUGUCGGUGCCGAUUAUCUCAUCACACAUCGAUUUUAGGGUCAAUGCUGCAAGUGGAAGACUAAAUGUGCAAGGAUCCAACAGGAUGAUGCAUGGCCUUAUUCUGCAAGGUAUGCCUGAUGGAGCGAUUGGGUUGAUGCUGAUGCUGAUAUACUUCCCUAAGUUGCUCCAAUCAGGAAUGCAGAUAUACUUCCGUGAGUUGCUCCCCAAAACCAAUCCCUUGCUCUUCUUUGCACCAAUGGGACAAGAGAUGCGAGCCAUCCUUUUUACUGGAUGUUCUCUUGAUCGUUUCUUCCUAUGGAUUUUGUGGUUGCCAGAUGUUCUCUCGCUGUGGAUUGGUAAAAAGACUUAACUCUUAAUCAGGGCGCGCGAUUUUGAUGAAGGUUGUAAAACAUUUUCAUUAGGCAUCAAUUUUAUUGCUGGUGUUUGUCUGGCUGUAAAAUCUGCUCAAUAUGUAUAUUUUCCUUUUGUCUGUGUCCCUUUUCCGAUAUAAUACUGAACCUUUUGGAAUAUCUCUGUAUACAAAAAAAAUGUGUUCUGUC
Long non-coding RNA from Triticum aestivum (bread wheat), 4899 nucleotides. RefSeq lists it as uncharacterized. The transcript is spliced from 8 exons. The record is from RefSeq and is a predicted model, not a curated record. Lineage: Eukaryota; Viridiplantae; Streptophyta; Magnoliopsida; Poales; Poaceae.